AACGCGAAGAACCUUACCUGGUCUUGACAUCCACGGAAGUUUUCAGAGAUGAGAAUGUGCCUUCGGGAACCGUGAGACAGGUGCUGCAUGGCUGUCGUCAGCUCGUGUUGUGAAAUGUUGGGUUAAGUCCCGCAACGAGCGCAACCCUUAUCCUUUGUUGCCAGCGGUCCGGCCGGGAACUCAAAGGAGACUGCCAGUGAUAAACUGGAGGAAGGUGGGGAUGACGUCAAGUCAUCGUGGCCCUUACGACCAGGGCUACACACGUGCUACAAUGGCGCAUACAAAGAGAAGCGACCUCGCGAGAGCAAGCGGACCUCAUAAAGUGCGUCGUAGUCCGGAUUGGAGUCUGCAACUCGACUCCAUGAAGUCGGAAUCGCUAGUAAUCGUGGAUCAGAAUGCCACGGUGAAUACGUUCCCGGGCCUUGUACACACCGCCCGU
Molecule: ribosomal RNA, 439 nt
Filed under: uncultured Shigella sp.
Lineage: Bacteria; Pseudomonadati; Pseudomonadota; Gammaproteobacteria; Enterobacterales; Enterobacteriaceae
Description: bacterial SSU rRNA
Rfam family: Bacterial small subunit ribosomal RNA
Source: RNAcentral